GAAUCAUUCACAAUGGGGGAAACCCUGAUGGUGCGACGCCGCGUGGGGGAUAAGGUCUUCGGAUUGUAAACCCCUGUCAUGUGGGACAUUAAAAAGAUAGUACCACAAGAGGAAGAGACGGCUAACUCUGUGCCAGCAGCCGCGGUAAUACAGAGGUCUCAAGCGUUGUUCGGAAUCACUGGGCGUAAAGCGUGCGUAGGCUGUUUCGUAAGUCGUGUGUGAAAGGCGCGGGCUCAACCCGCGGACGGCACAUGAUACUGCGAGACUAGAGUAAUGGAGGGGGAACCGGAAUUCUCGGUGUAGCAGUGAAAUGCGUAGAUAUCGAGAGG
This 329-nucleotide ribosomal RNA is filed under the name uncultured bacterium. RNAcentral's name for it is "bacterial SSU rRNA". It matches the Rfam family "Bacterial small subunit ribosomal RNA", at positions 359 to 704 of the family's 1533-position model. The record is from RNAcentral.